GAUGAACGCUGGCGGCGUGCCUAAUACAUGCAAGUCGAGCGAACAGACGAGGAGCUUGCUCCUCUGACGUUAGCGGCGGACGGGUGAGUAACACGUGGAUAACCUACCUAUAAGACUGGGAUAACUUCGGGAAACCGGAGCUAAUACCGGAUAAUAUAUUGAACCGCAUGGUUCAAUAGUGAAAGACGGCUUUGCUGUCACUUAUAGAUGGAUCCGCGCCGCAUUAGCUAGUUGGUAAGGUAACGGCUUACCAAGGCAACGAUGCGUAGCCGACCUGAGAGGGUGAUCGGCCACACUGGAACUGAGACACGGUCCAGAAUCCUACGGGAGGCAGCAGUAGGGAAUCUUCCGCAAUGGGCGAAAGCCUGACGGAGCAACGCCGCGUGAGUGAUGAAGGUCUUCGGAUCGUAAAACUCUGUUAUUAGGGAAGAACAAAUGUGUAAGUAACUAUGCACGUCUUGACGGUACCUAAUCAGAAAGCCACGGCUAACUACGUG
Molecule: ribosomal RNA, 497 nt
Filed under: uncultured bacterium
Lineage: Bacteria
Description: partial 16S ribosomal RNA
Rfam family: Bacterial small subunit ribosomal RNA
Source: RNAcentral